This 72-nucleotide transfer RNA is filed under the name Camelus bactrianus (Bactrian camel). It matches the Rfam family "tRNA". From Rfam's summary of the family: Transfer RNA (tRNA) molecules are approximately 80 nucleotides in length. Their secondary structure includes four short double-helical elements and three loops (D, anti-codon, and T loops). The record is from Rfam by way of RNAcentral. Lineage: Eukaryota; Metazoa; Chordata; Mammalia; Artiodactyla; Camelidae. RNAcentral also lists the same sequence under 2 other names.
AAGGGUAUAGUUCAAUGGCAGAGCAUGUGCUUAGCAUGCAUGAGGUCCUGGGUUCAAUUCCAAGUCCCUCUG